GAAAUCGCAGAGCUAAAGCCGAAAAGAGUUUCAAGCCCUUAAAUAAACUAAAAAAAAAAAAAAGAAACCUUCUCCUAUUUCACCCCAUUUCCAUUCCCUUUUGGGCUUUAGCAGCCAAAAAUGCCUAUGGGGAACUUUGCUGUUUCUCUUUUUGUUCGACUUUGCAUGUCUUUCAGGUAUUGAAAGAAAAAUUGAGUUUGCAACUUGAAAUUUAAGCUAUUUACGACUCUACAUUUUCUGGCUUGCAUCAUAGCUUUAGUAAACCUGAGUCUUAGUGCUGCCUUCGAAUGGCGACUGCUAUAACACCAUAUUUUACACCUUCAGAUACUAGACCAAUGGGGGUGCUUAAUGUUCUUGGAGGGAGACUGUUAAUGGAGAAUCCUUUAGGGAGACUUAGCUGCCUUAAAAUUUCUGACGGGAAAAGUGGAUUUUCAAGUGCCGGCCAAAGGUCUACCAUGCCUCAUUUUAGAUGUUCUGCCAACUUUCAAAGUGUCAGUCCGCAUCAAAAUAAAAACCCUUUUCUGAAUCUGCACCCUGAAGCUUCGAUGCUUAGAGGUGAAGGGAACAGUACAAUAACCAACCCAAGAAAGGAUAGUUCUACUGGAAGUGUCACUGAGAACUUAAGAGACAUGUCUGGUUCAAGUAGUUAUAAUGAAGCUAAGAUCAAAGUUAUUGGUGUUGGAGGCGGUGGGUCAAAUGCUGUUAAUCGCAUGAUAGAAAGCGCAAUGAAGGGUGUAGAGUUCUGGAUUGUUAACACUGAUGUUCAAGCCAUGAAAAUGUCACCUGUCUUUCCUGAUCAUCGUUUGCAAAUUGGACAGGAGCUAACUAGGGGUCUUGGUGCUGGUGGGAACCCAGAGAUUGGCAUGAAUGCUGCCAAAGAAAGCAAGGAGUUGAUAGAAGAGGCUCUUUAUGGUGCUGAUAUGGUUUUUGUUACUGCUGGAAUGGGUGGAGGAACUGGAACUGGUGGAGCUCCUGUAAUUGCAGGAGUUGCAAAGUCCAUGGGUAUAUUAACUGUUGGUAUUGUCACUACCCCUUUUUCUUUUGAGGGAAGAAGGAGGACUGUUCAAGCACAGGAAGGAAUUGCAGCUCUAAGAGAAAAUGUUGAUACACUAAUUGUUAUUCCAAACGACAAGUUGUUGACUGCAGUUUCCCAGUCUACUCCAGUAACAGAAGCAUUUAAUCUGGCUGAUGAUAUUCUUCGACAAGGUGUUCGUGGUAUCUCUGAUAUAAUUACGAUUCCAGGGCUAGUCAAUGUUGAUUUUGCUGAUGUGCGAACUAUAAUGGCCAAUGCAGGUUCUUCACUAAUGGGGAUAGGAACUGCAACUGGGAAAACAAGGGCAAGAGAUGCUGCACUAAAUGCUAUCCAAUCUCCUUUGUUAGAUCUUGGUAUAGAAAGGGCUACUGGAAUUGUGUGGAACAUAACUGGUGGAAGUGAUUUAACCUUGUUUGAGGUGAAUGCUGCGGCUGAGGUUAUAUAUGAUCUUGUGGAUCCAACUGCCAAUUUAAUAUUUGGAGCAGUGAUAGAUCCAUCACUUGGUGGCCAAGUAAGUAUAACUCUAAUUGCCACGGGAUUUAAACGUCAAGAAGAAAGUGAAGGGAGGCCCCGUCAGGCAGGUCAGUUGGCACAGGGAGAUAUUGGACUUGGAAUCAAUCGGAGGCCUUCUUUCAGUGAUGGUGGUUCAGUGGACAUCCCCGAGUUCCUGAAGAAGAAAGGACGUUCACGCUAUCCAAGAGCUUGAAUGGUUUUCUGAUUAGUGUCUCAACCAAUGUAGUUAUGCUUCACUCUGAGGUGGGGUAACAACAAUGCCAUGCAGAAGAAGAAUGCUGUCCAAGAAUACAUGAAAAAUUACUGUUUUUUUGGAUAAUACAAGACAUUGUUAAAAAUUUAAUUGUAAUUAGAACUGAUUUUUAAAGAAGAUUUAUUCAUUGUAAAAUUACUUGUUUCAUGUUAGAAGACUAAGGUCUAAGAUUAAAAGGCAUACCCACAUGGAGCAUGUGCCCUACCAUAUAAGAACUCUGUAAAAAGUAGGAGAUUAUUCAAAAUUAAAGCAAAUAUGCAAUAUCACCAUGUAGUUCUGUUAAUGCAUGCAUGAAACUAUGAAAAGAAGAGAAACGAAAAAAAUGGGAAAAAAAAAAUGUUUACAAGUAAGUUUUUCAACAUGGCUCGAGAAAUUUUGAAAAGAGAAAGAAAAGUGAGGACAUAAACAAAAGAAGAGGGGACAGAGUCGUUGAGGUGUACAUCAAGAAAAAA
Molecule: RNA transcript, 2251 nt
Organism: Durio zibethinus
Lineage: Eukaryota; Viridiplantae; Streptophyta; Magnoliopsida; Malvales; Malvaceae
Gene name: cell division protein FtsZ homolog 2-1, chloroplastic-like
Source: RefSeq, a predicted model, not a curated record